UAUGGAAUUACAUGAACAUGGCCAGGAUCUGCCUGUCCAAGAAACCAUGAAGUGACUGUCUGCUUAUGGACAUCUUUGUUGAAGGUGGCAUACCCACAGACGGCCAGGAAGUGACUAGAGGAUGUACUCCAGUAAAAUGAAGGAAUAAACCAAGAAAGAAAAAGACAUGAGAUCCAAUAAGCAAAAGACCCGACUCAGAAAUCAGGCAAAAGGACUACCUGGAUGACAGAAUGGGAAACUACCAGAACGAUUUACUGGGCAGUCGGCUCAGAUGGAGCAGUGGAUGACAACUUGUUGGGGAAAAAUAGAACAUAUAGGUUACUUGAUGUAUUUAAAGACACUUUACGGCUCUGUUGGAGAGUCCAGUAUUGAAUUAGUGAUAGAUACACAGAAAA
This 395-nucleotide long non-coding RNA is filed under the name Homo sapiens (human). Its description in RNAcentral is "HSALNT0205956". Lineage: Eukaryota; Metazoa; Chordata; Mammalia; Primates; Hominidae. The record is from RNAcentral.